This 433-nucleotide ribosomal RNA is filed under the name uncultured bacterium. RNAcentral describes it as "partial 16S ribosomal RNA". It matches the Rfam family "Bacterial small subunit ribosomal RNA", at positions 29 to 507 of the family's 1533-position model. The record is from RNAcentral.
AACGAACGCUGGCGGCAUGCCUAACACAUGCAAGUCGAACGAGACCUUCGGGUCUAGUGGCGCACGGGUGCGUAACGCGUGGGAACCUGCCCUUAGGUUCGGAAUAACUCCCCGAAAGGGGUGCUAAUACCGGAUAAUGUCUUCGGACCAAAGAUUUAUCGACUUUGGAUGGGCCCGCGUUGGAUUAGCUAGUUGGUAGGGUAAAAGCCUACCAAGGCGACGAUUCAUAGCUGGUCUGAGAGGAUGAUCAGCCACACUGGGACUGAGACACGGCCCAGACUCCUACGGGAGGCAGCAGUGGGGAAUAGUGGACAAUGGGCGAAAGCCUGAUCCAGCAAUGCCGCGUGAGUGAUGAAGGCCUUAGGGUUGUAAAGCUCUUUUACCCGGGAUGAUAAUGACAGUACCGGGAGAAUAAGCUCCGGCUAACUCCGUG